AUUGAACGCUGGCGGCAUGCCUUACACAUGCAAGUCGAACGGUAACAGGUCUUCGGAUGCUGACGAGUGGCGAACGGGUGAGUAAUAUAUCGGAACGUGCCUAGUAGUGGGGGAUAACUACUCGAAAGAGUGGCUAAUACCGCAUGAGAUCUACGGAUGAAAGCAGGGGAUCGCAAGACCUUGUGCUACUAGAGCGGCCGAUGGCAGAUUAGGUAGUUGGUGGGAUAAAAGCUUACCAAGCCGACGAUCUGUAGCUGGUCUGAGAGGACGAUCAGCCACACUGGGACUGAGACACGGCCCAGACUCCUACGGGAGGCAGCAGUGGGGAAUUUUGGACAAUGAGCGCAAGCCUGAUCCAGCAAUGCCGCGUGCAGGAUGAAGGCCUUCGGGUUGUAAACUGCUUUUGUACGGAACGAAAAGCCCCGGGUUAAUACCCUGGGGUCAUGACGGUACCGUAAGAAUAAGCACCGGCUAACUACGUGCCAGCCGCCGCCGUAA
Molecule: ribosomal RNA, 498 nt
Filed under: uncultured bacterium
Lineage: Bacteria
Description: partial 16S ribosomal RNA
Rfam family: Bacterial small subunit ribosomal RNA
Source: RNAcentral